Molecule: non-coding RNA, 20 nt
Filed under: Arabidopsis thaliana (thale cress)
Lineage: Eukaryota; Viridiplantae; Streptophyta; Magnoliopsida; Brassicales; Brassicaceae
Also listed under: 2 other names
Source: RNAcentral
AGGAAUUGACGGAAGGGCAC